Long non-coding RNA from Haemorhous mexicanus (house finch), 428 nucleotides. RefSeq lists it as uncharacterized. The record is from RefSeq and is a predicted model, not a curated record. Lineage: Eukaryota; Metazoa; Chordata; Aves; Passeriformes; Fringillidae. The transcript has 2 exons.
GCCCGGCGGGGCCCGCUCGGGCGUCACGGCCGGGCGCGGGGGGCCUCGGCCAUCGGCGGCGCCCGGCCCCGGGGCGGUCGAGGGAGCUGGGGAAAAAAUGCGAAGAGCGACGAAAAAAGUCUCGAGAGUCCGAGCGCGGGCGGCUUUUCCCCCCGGCCGCCGCCUCCUUUUUGCUUCUCGUACCUGCCCGGGAGCGAGAAGAAGGCACGAUGAUACGGGGCCGGAGAGGGAUUGCCUCUCCAUGAAUCGCCGGCCGUGCCCCACCGCGCUCCGGCGUGAAGGGCAUUGGCAUUUGUGAUCACUGGACGCCGGACACUUACUUAUACCCGAUUUCCAGAGCGUGUCGGGGUGUUUCAACCAGGAGAGGAACACGUGUAAAAGUGUAAUAGUCAGAAACACUUCGCUUGACUAAACGGACCCUUAUCACC